Molecule: long non-coding RNA, 737 nt
Organism: Daphnia magna
Lineage: Eukaryota; Metazoa; Arthropoda; Branchiopoda; Diplostraca; Daphniidae
Exons: 4
Source: RefSeq, a predicted model, not a curated record
GUCUCGUGUGUGUCGUGUAACUAUUGGUUACGUUGGUUUACGAAAAAGAUAGAAAACAUACGCUAAACUACUGCCGAAAAUCAACAUACUGGAGUACAUAUAGAAGAAAAUGAAAUAAAAGUUGAAGUUGUCUUCAUUUAAUGGUACUCGUCGGUGAAGGGUUGGUGGCCAUCAGUUGCAUCAGGUUCUACUGACGAUGAAGGACGCAAGAAGAGAAAAGGGAAACGUAUAAAACCGAAAACAAGGAGAUAUCUAUUUGUAGAAUCAACGGAAUAUAGCAAAUUUGAAAUUUACCCAUUUGAAUAUAAUACAUUUCUCUGUUUAGACGGCUUUUGUCAUUGGAAUUGGAAGAACUGUUAACUUAAUCAUGGGAAGAGUCACGAGAGCCUUCAUGAAUACUACAAAUGUGAAAUCUUUGCAGGACUCAAUGAAAAUAAAAAGAAAUAAAAGACGUUGACAAAUCAAUGAAUGGAGACAUAGUGGAAUCCAAGAUCAAGACUUGGCUGCGUCAGUGCCCAAAACAUGCACAGAAAAACGUCGAAAAUGACAUUGUGAGAAGAAACCAAGAAGUGUCCGACCACGAUUACGGCUAAGACAAAGAAUAACUUAAUUUAUUUAUUUCUAUUUUCUGUCCUGCCAUAGAAGUUUGCAAAUAUUAUUAAGUAAAUACAAUCUCAAAUUUGCUUUAAUUUUCGUUGUAGUUCUGUACCUGAAAAGGAAUAAUAUAUUUUAGUUUG